RNAcentral lists this ribosomal RNA (405 nucleotides) under uncultured bacterium. Its description in RNAcentral is "partial 16S ribosomal RNA". It matches the Rfam family "Bacterial small subunit ribosomal RNA", at positions 28 to 526 of the family's 1533-position model. The record is from RNAcentral.
GACGAACGCUGGCGGCGUGCCUAAUACAUGCAAGUCGAGCGAAGCGGGGACGGGUGAGUAACACGUAAGGAACCUCCGAUAAGCGGGGGACAACAUCCGGAAACGGGUGCUAAACCGCCUCCUUAUCGAUGUCCUUGCGGUGAAUUAGCUCGUUGGUGGGGUAACGGCCUACCAAGGCAAUGAUGCGUAGCCGACCUGAGAGGUUAAUCGGCCACAUUGGGACUGAGACACGGCCCAAACUCCUACGUGAGGCAGCAGUAGGGAAUCGUCCGCAAUGGGCGCAAGCCUGACGGAGCAACGCCGCGUGAGUGAAGAAGGUUUUCGGAUCGUAAAGCUCUGUUGUAAGAGAAGCGGUAUCUUACCAGAAAGCCACGGCUAACUACGUGCCAGCAGCCGCGGUAAUAC